CAGCAGUUAGAUCACCUUCCCUGUCUUCAAGUCCCAUGUACACCUUUAUCAGAUACAUCAAAUGAUAUGGGUGUGACAGAAGGAAGUUUUCCUCCAUUGUGCCCUCCACAGUUGUCUCAAGGGUCAUCUAAUGGAAGUUUGACUCAACUCUUAAGAGAUGUUUCAUUUCAUGAUUUAAACAAGUAUUCUCAACAUUGAUUAUGGCAAAUUCGUGAACGCAGAGGUUACAUGGUGAUCGUGUCCGGCAUAGUAGCUUGUUUCCGUUCAUAGGUUUUUUACUAGUGUGCAAUUGACAUUCGCCAAUGUGAAUUGAGCCUCUUUUUUUUUUUUUCAUGUCAAGGUUGUAACCCACCUGUGGAUGUUGGAAUUUGUUUGUCCCUUAUAGAAGUAUGUUUUGAGUUUCCUCUUCUCAAUUCCAAUUUCCCUUAUAUCGAAGAACUGAACAAUCUUCAACUUUGGAACUACAAUAAAGUAAUGUUUUUGAUGCUUAUUUGGUUGUGCAACUGCAUUGAAUCAUUUGUUGCAUGAUAUUUACCCUGUUUUUUGGUAGCAAGAGAAAAGGCAAUUGCCAAUGUAAUCAAGACAAAUAUAUUUGGAAAGAGAAAGGUGCUUCGUGUGCUUGGAUUUCAUCAGCAAGACUAGUUUGGGAUUUUUAUUUCAUGGGAAUUCUGACUGCAAAUACAGUUGAAA
Molecule: long non-coding RNA, 690 nt
Organism: Lycium barbarum (goji berry)
Lineage: Eukaryota; Viridiplantae; Streptophyta; Magnoliopsida; Solanales; Solanaceae
Exons: 3
Source: RefSeq, a predicted model, not a curated record